UACGUAGGGUGCGAGCGUUAAUCGGAAUUACUGGGCGUAAAGCGCGCGUAGGCGGUUUGAUAAGUGGGAUGUGAAAGCCCCGGGCUCAACCUGGGAAUUGCAUCCAGAACUGUCUGACUAGAGUACAGUAGAGGUGAGCGGAAUUUCCUGUGUAGCGGUGAAAUGCGUAGAUAUAGGAAGGAACAUCAGUGGCGAAGGCGACUCACUGGACUGAUACUGACGCUGAGGUGCGAAAGCGUGGGGAGCAAACAGG
Molecule: ribosomal RNA, 253 nt
Filed under: uncultured bacterium
Lineage: Bacteria
Description: partial 16S ribosomal RNA
Rfam family: Bacterial small subunit ribosomal RNA
Source: RNAcentral